UCCAGCGGCAGUCAGCUGUACAGGCCUGUGCAGUGCCUGAGCUAGUGUUACUCUGCUGGAAAAGAAAGGCACUGCUGUUUAGGCUAUGUCCAGGGCUUGCUGUUUUAGCAGUCUUGCACCAUGGCUAUUGUGGUGUCUUGCCCAACUGAGAGUGGGCUGCUUACACAUCCCAUGUGGGCAGCCCUAGUCUGUGGGCAAACAUU
Tachysurus fulvidraco (yellow catfish) is the source of this 203-nucleotide small nucleolar RNA. RefSeq annotates it as small nucleolar RNA SNORA74. NCBI's taxonomy places the organism in Eukaryota, Metazoa, Chordata, Actinopteri, Siluriformes, Bagridae. The record is from RefSeq and is a predicted model, not a curated record. The transcript has a single exon.